This is a long non-coding RNA of Rosa rugosa (rugosa rose), 501 nucleotides long. RefSeq lists it as uncharacterized. The record is from RefSeq and is a predicted model, not a curated record. Lineage: Eukaryota; Viridiplantae; Streptophyta; Magnoliopsida; Rosales; Rosaceae. The transcript has 3 exons.
UCUCCUGUUGUGCAAUUCAUUUUCAAAUCUUGCUUAUUGGUGGUUACCCCUAUUGCAGAUCGUUCAUUUUGAGCUGCUACGAUUUUUUUGUACUGUUUUAAUUUUAUCAUCAGUGUUAAGUACAAUAUUGACUUCAUGUCUGUUAUUGGGUAAAGUUUUUCAAUUUCGGCUGCAAAGUGAAUAAUUUAUAUAUUGGAUUUUUAAACUAUUGUUAGUCAUUUCAUGAUAUUAAUAUCUAUUUUGCUUUCCGAGCUUAAUAAUGCUCCUGUUGUGCUGAGAGGAUUUGAAUUUAGCAAACUACAGGAAAACUAUAAGCAAGUUUGUUGAUUGUUUGAACCAAAGUAUAGAAAUAGGCAAUUGAUUAGUCCUUGAAAUGAAGGUGUGGACUGUUGAUAGAAGUUGAGUCUCACUUUUGGCAUUUCUCUAUCAGAUGACAUCUAUCAAUGGAAACCGGGAACUAGGAGUAUAACACUCGCUGUAUUUUCUCAAUUGCUACGUUUU